Molecule: long non-coding RNA, 1077 nt
Filed under: Calidris pugnax (ruff)
Lineage: Eukaryota; Metazoa; Chordata; Aves; Charadriiformes; Scolopacidae
Description: lncRNA (ENSCPUG00000006826.1)
Source: RNAcentral
GCCUGGGGGCUGCUCCGGCUGCACAGAGCGAUGGCUGGGCUGUCUUUGCAGCUGAGAAGAGAAGCUGAUCACUUCCAGUGACAGAGCAACUGCACUUUCUUCAUGCCAGGAUCACUGAGGCUUUGCGUCUGGGGAGGCGGAGAACUGCAUCUUCAAAAUAUGCAAAAGGCAAGAUACUAUGCAAAAGUGAGAACUCAGCUUGAACCUGCUGUCUCCAAGAUCAGAAUCGUAUUAGCAGAAACCAGAGGGGGAAAAAAGCAAGGACUGAAGAAAGUUCACUGUGCUGCUGUUGCAGAAAAGAGAAAUCCAAUCCUAGGUUGUCAUGAGGAGAAGAUGGUGUGUUGGCGUAACAGAGAGAAACCUACCAGAGAAAUUAUCAGCACUGUGGCAAAUGUCAUCCCCACCACGGAAGAACACCCCAAAUUGCCCUGAUGUAACUUAGUCUUCAUUUUACCACCUUUCCUGAGGCUGGAGGCUCAGUAAUGAGCCUUGUAAAUUUUCUGUUUUCAAAUCUAGGCAGGGGAUUUGUUUUUCUUGAGCGAGGUGCCAAUGCUAUUUCAUGCUGUGCAGCUUCCAGUAUUUUCUUAAGUGCCUUGAGAGGCUUGGCACGAAGGGCACUAUGGAAAUGUAGUUUUAACUGAUAGCUUCCAACUUCUGCCUUGUAACCUACCUUCAAAAUUAGGAAUUUUAGCAGAAACAGAGGUGCUCCUUUCCCUGCGUGCAAGCAGAACUGUACUCCCCGCAGCCCACACAGUGAAACAUUUCAGCUGAAUGUGGAGUGCCUGGAGAGCAAUGUGACACCCCUGUCAGGCUGGUCACCAACACCCCCAUUCAUCUAUCACUACGAGUGGCACAAAUUUAAAACAAACCCCUCACCCUCCUCUAUGCCCAUAUUACAAGACAUGCCAGAUAUUUCUCUUUCAGCCAGGCAGCUAACUCUGAGGCCUGGCUUACAGCGUCCAUCCCCAUCACAGAAAUAUGGUACAACAAAGUGGGGGAGAACUAUCCCAGCUACCCACAGAGGUCAGCCGUAAUCACAGCUUCAAAUUCAUUAAUAAAUGAGUGUACCAGAGCUCA